UAAAAUAAAGCUUCUAACUUUAAAAUAGAGCAUUAAAAUGUUCAUAUUUCUU
Molecule: transfer RNA, 52 nt
Filed under: Dilophotes sp. AP LB-2014
Lineage: Eukaryota; Metazoa; Arthropoda; Insecta; Coleoptera; Lycidae
Description: partial tRNA-Ser
Source: RNAcentral